This 1929-nucleotide long non-coding RNA is filed under the name Nicotiana benthamiana. RNAcentral's name for it is "long non-coding RNA (NBEN_LNC012619)". The record is from RNAcentral. Lineage: Eukaryota; Viridiplantae; Streptophyta; Magnoliopsida; Solanales; Solanaceae.
CCGAGUCUGUACACACCCUCUAUGAGCGCCGUCGACGAUAAAUGAUAUGGUGGCUCGGGCUGCACGCCGCAGUGGGUACUUUAUUGUACCAUCAUAUGCAUUGCAUCGCAUCCCUGCAUUUGCAUCACAUAUAUAUAUUGUUGUUCAGUUGCAGAUACUGUUAUACACUGUUUUAGCUUAGUUUGUGUAAUUAUUGAGUUUUCUUGCUUUCGGAGCUUUAUUUACUAUUAUUACUCGCUGAGUUGGUAGUCUAACCCCCAACUCCAUGCACCUUGUGUGCAAAUUCAAGUAUUUCAUAGAAUUUUGCGCGUGCGAUUGCCGAUUAUUACUUUGACAGAGUCUUGAGGUAGCUGCUAGCGUCCGCAGGACCCAUGACUCUGAUCUUCUAGUUAUUUUCUAGUUAUUCUGACACUUGUCUUUCCCUGAUUCUGACAUGUAUUCAAUAUUUUUAGAGGCUCUAAAACUCGUGACCCCAGAUCUUUGGGGAAGUUAUGUUGUUCAGUGAGAUUUUCGGGAUACUUUUAUAACUAACAGUUUAUUUUGGCUUCCUUCACUAUUAAUGGCUUAUAAUAAAUGGUUUAUGAACUCUAAGCUCGGGUUAAGAGCACAUUUGGUCGGGCUUGCCUAGCCGUUAGGUUGGGCGCCAUCACGGCCGAAUUUGGGGUCGUGACAAAUCUAGCAUUUUAAAUUUUUUAUGAGUUCUAAGCUCGUGUUGAGAGCACAUUUGGUCGGGCUUGCCUAGCCGUUGGGUUGGGCACCAUCACGACCGUGUUUGGGGUUGUGACAUAAAUAUUAUUAAAGUGCACAUCUAAAGCAAUACGCGAUUUGGCUUCGCGAGGGCCAUGUACAUUCUGCUAAAUGGCACGCCUCGAGUUCUAAGUAUUUCAAAGGAAUUAAAUAAGGGCCACACAUUUAAGGUUUUAUUUGGUGCGACGCAUCUCAAUUUAUUUCAAAAAAGGCCACACAUUUGAGGUAUUAUUUGGUGCGUCGCAUCUCAAUUACUAGACUACUUGCCGCCUGUUUUAGGAUUAUGUUUAGAUUUAAGAAGCUUUGAAUUAUAAUACAUGUCAAACAAUUGCAACUUCUGAAAUAGCUAGACUUCCAGUGAAUAUAAAGAUCAAAUAUCCACGCUCAAGAAUGUUCAGAAAACAAAAGAUGCAAUUAACAAAGAAAUCUCCACCCCUAAUUACAUGAUUCACCUCAAAAUGGCUUCACAAACAAACUUCCAACACUUUAACCUUCACAUCCCAAACAAGAAUGAAGUUUCGAGAUACAGAUAUAAUAACUAAAACAACAUACAAACAUGCACCUUAAUCCAAUGAUUAUGAAGGACUGUCAGUAUGUGAUUCAUAUAUAGACCAGGAAUUUUUAUCUCGUAAAAGUAAUUACAUGAGUUAUCAUUAUUUUUCUAACUACCACAAUGACUUUAAACAUGCCGAAUCUGGGACAGAUUCCAAAAAUCAAUUAUAAACAUAUUCUUAACCAAAACAAUUUCAUUACCUUUGUUGGUAACAUAGAGUCAUAUCAGAUUUACUAAUUAACUGAGUGACAGUUAACAAUUCAAUACUAAAAGCGGUGUACUUAAAUCAACUGAUUAUUAACAAGUUAGCAUGACUGAAAGGCAUUUAAAUAUAAUAGUCGACUAAUCAAGUGCAAAAACAUUACCCAAACAACGGAUCAAAUUUCUUCAGGAAACUAGUAUUUUUCAUUUAAGUAAUAAAUGUGAGUUCAUAAACAUGUACCUAAUGCAGAGGAAGAGAUGGCUCUGAUUUUUGCUGAAGAGGAAGGAGAAACAAUUAUGGAGUUCAGGGAUUUAGUUCCAUUUUUGUAUGGGGAGGAGGUCCUUCGGUUGAAAUCAAGAGGAGAAGAUGCAUAAAAACUGGGGAGAAGCUGCGCUUAUCCUUGCUUGGGUAAAAAAAAAUCCGUCCC